RNAcentral lists this ribosomal RNA (405 nucleotides) under Triticum aestivum (bread wheat). Its description in RNAcentral is "partial small subunit ribosomal RNA". The record is from RNAcentral. Lineage: Eukaryota; Viridiplantae; Streptophyta; Magnoliopsida; Poales; Poaceae.
AUGUGUGAUCAUGUCGUCGGCGCCACCACCACCUUCGCCCUCUGGCACAAGAUCAAGGACUAUUUCCUCACCAACUGCGCCGCCCGCUUUAUGAUCCUCAACCGCCAGCACCGCAAUCUCAAGCAGGGGGACCUCUCUGUCUCGGAGUACGCGCGCCGCAUCAAGCAGCUCAACGACACCCUUGCCGACAUCGACCACGGUGUCAAAGAGGUGGAUCUCACAACGCAGUUCCUGCACGGACUCGACAAGCGCCUCGAAACAAUUCGGGUCGUUCUUGGCGAUCAGACAUUCCCCUUCGACACCGUCCUCUCCCGCGUCAUCCUGGCAGAGGAGUCCCAGGCUCAGCGCGCGGCGGAGGAGAGCGCCUAGGCUUUCGCCAUGCCGGGCGGUGGCUCGUUGAGCGGC